GCCCUUGUAGCUCAGUAGGUAUGUAAACUGCAAAGAGCGUUCGACUGUUAAUCGAAAGGUCGCAGGUUCGAGACCUGCCAAGGGCG
Molecule: transfer RNA, 86 nt
Filed under: Nitrospirota bacterium
Lineage: Bacteria; Pseudomonadati; Nitrospirota
Description: Nitrospirae bacterium (hot springs metagenome) tRNA-Asn
Rfam family: tRNA
About the family: Transfer RNA (tRNA) molecules are approximately 80 nucleotides in length. Their secondary structure includes four short double-helical elements and three loops (D, anti-codon, and T loops).
Source: RNAcentral